RNAcentral lists this ribosomal RNA (468 nucleotides) under uncultured bacterium. Its description in RNAcentral is "partial 16S ribosomal RNA". It matches the Rfam family "Bacterial small subunit ribosomal RNA", at positions 28 to 507 of the family's 1533-position model. The record is from RNAcentral.
GACGAACGCUGGCGGCGUGCUUAACACAUGCAAGUCGAACGGAAAGGCCCUGCUUUUGUGGGGUGCUCGAGUGGCGAACGGGUGAGUAACACGUGAGUAACCUGCCCUUGACUUUGGGAUAACUUCAGGAAACUGGGGCUAAUACCGGAUAGGAGCUCCUGCUGCAUGGUGGGGGUUGGAAAGUUUCGGCGGUUGGGGAUGGACUCGCGGCUUAUCAGCUUGUUGGUGGGGUAGUGGCUUACCAAGGCUUUGACGGGUAGCCGGCCUGAGAGGGUGACCGGCCACAUUGGUACUGAGAUACGGCCCAGACUCCUACGGGAGGCAGCAGUGGGGAAUAUUGCACAAUGGGCGGAAGCCUGAUGCAGCAACGCCGCGUGCGUGAUGACGGCCUUCGGGUUGUAAACCGCUUUCGCCUGUGACGAAGCGUGAGUGACGGUAAUGGGUAAAGAAGCACCGGCUAACUACGUG